CCUACGGGAGGCAGCAGUGAGGCAUCUUGGUCAAUGGGCUUACGCCUGAACCAGCCAAGUCGCGUGAGGGAAGACUGCCCUAUGGGUUGUAAACCUCUUUUGUCAGGGAGCAAUUGGCGCUACGUGUAGCGUUAUCGAGAGUACCUGAAGAAAAAGCAUCGGCUAACUCCGUGCCAGCAGCCGCGGUACUACGGCGGAUGCAAGCGUUAUCCGGAUUUAUUGGGUUUAAAGGGUGCGUAGGAUGUGAGUUAAGUCAGCGGGGAAAUGCCCCCGCUCAACGGGGUGAAGUGCCAUUGAUACUGCCUUGCUGGAAUGCGGAUGCGGUAGGAGGAAUGUGUGGUGUAGCGGUGAAAUGCAUAGAUAGCACACAGAACACCGAUUGCGAAGGCAUCUCACGAAUCCGCGAUUGACGCUGAUGCACGAAAGCGUGGGUAUCAAACAGGAUUAGAUACCCCAGUAGUC
RNAcentral lists this ribosomal RNA (462 nucleotides) under uncultured bacterium. RNAcentral's name for it is "partial 16S ribosomal RNA". It matches the Rfam family "Bacterial small subunit ribosomal RNA", at positions 338 to 795 of the family's 1533-position model. The record is from RNAcentral.